GUCCCCAUAGCUCAACGGACAGAGCAUCCGCGUCCUAAGCGGGUGAUGCAAGUUCGAUUCUUGCUGGGGACA
Candidatus Woesebacteria bacterium is the source of this 72-nucleotide non-coding RNA. The record is from Rfam. NCBI's taxonomy places the organism in Bacteria, Candidatus Woeseibacteriota.